This 216-nucleotide ribosomal RNA is filed under the name Glomeromycotina sp. Its description in RNAcentral is "partial small subunit ribosomal RNA". The stretch from base 40 to 216 matches the Rfam family "Eukaryotic small subunit ribosomal RNA", at positions 686 to 864 of the family's 1831-position model. Lineage: Eukaryota; Fungi; Glomeromycota. The record is from RNAcentral.
GGGUCAGUAGGGUGGUCGUGCCACCGGUACGUACUGGUCUCAAUGAUUCCUCCUUCCUGAAGAACCGUAAUGCCAUUAAUUUGGUGUUGCGGGGAAACAGGACUGUUACUUUGAAAAAAUUCGAGUGUUUAAAGCAAGCUAACGCUUGAAUACAUUAGCAUGGAAUAAUGAAAUAGGACGAUCGAUCCUAUUUUGUUGGUUUCUAGGAUUGACGUA